This 478-nucleotide ribosomal RNA is filed under the name uncultured bacterium. Its description in RNAcentral is "partial 16S ribosomal RNA". It matches the Rfam family "Bacterial small subunit ribosomal RNA", at positions 28 to 523 of the family's 1533-position model. The record is from RNAcentral.
GACGAACGCUGGCGGCGUGCUUAGCACAUGCAAGUCGAACGGUAAGGCCCUUCGGGGUACACGAGUGGCGAACGGGUGAGUAACACGUGGGUGAUCUGCCCUGCACUUCGGGAUAAGCCUGGGAAACUGGGUCUAAUACCGGAUAGGACCACUGCCUGCAUGGGUGGUGGUGGAAAGCUUUUGCGGUAUGGGAUGGGCCCGCGGCCUAUCAGCUUGUUGGUGGGGUGAUGGCCUACCAAGGCGACGACGGGUAGCCGGCCUGAGAGGGUGACCGGCCACACUGGGACUGAGAUACGGCCCAGACUCCUACGGGAGGCAGCAGUGGGGAAUAUUGCACAAUGGGCGCAAGCCUGAUGCAGCGACGCCGCGUGAGGGAUGACGGCCUUCGGGUUGUAAACCUCUUUCAGCACCGACGAAGCGCAAGUGACGGUAGGUGCAGAAGAAGGACCGGCCAACUACGUGCCAGCCGCCGCAGUAA